CCUACGGGGGGCUGCAGUGGGGAAUAUUGGACAAUGGGGGCAACCCUGAUCCAGCCAUGCCGCGUGUGUGAAGAAGGCCCUCGGGUUGUAAAGCACUUUCAGUGAGGAAGAACGCCUGGUGGUUAAUACCCAUCAGGAAAGACAUCACUCACAGAAGAAGCACCGGCUAACUCCGUGCCAGCAGCCGCGGUAAUACGGAGGGUGCGAGCGUGAAUCGGAAUUACUGGGCGUAAAGCGCGCGUAGGUGGCUUGAUAAGCCGGUUGUGAAAGCCCCGGGCUCAACCUGGGAACGGCAUCCGGAACUGUCAAGCUAGAGUGCAGGAGAGGAAGGUAGAAGUCCCGGUGUAGCGGUGAAAUGCGUAGAGAUCGGGAGGAAUACCAGUGGCGAAGGCGGCCUUCUGGACUGACACUGACACUGAGGUGCGAAAGCGUGGGUAGCAAACAGGAUUAGAUACCCCAGUAGUC
RNAcentral lists this ribosomal RNA (465 nucleotides) under Vreelandella stevensii. RNAcentral's name for it is "partial 16S ribosomal RNA". It matches the Rfam family "Bacterial small subunit ribosomal RNA", at positions 338 to 795 of the family's 1533-position model. Lineage: Bacteria; Pseudomonadati; Pseudomonadota; Gammaproteobacteria; Oceanospirillales; Halomonadaceae. The record is from RNAcentral.